UGCUUGAACGAUGCCUCGUCAGCUUCUCUGGAAUUUUCUCGGUGCCAGAGGAUCUCUGUUAUCAGACUCCACCGUCCACCGAUACUCGCUCUCCUCCACAUAAAAUCCGCAUCAGCGUGAUUUUCCACCGAUACUCGCUCUCCUCUACACAGCCGGUCCGACCUCCACAACGCACAGAACAGCAUUCAUCGAUCCUUCCGCAGGAAGACCUUCACAACGCACAAAGUAGUAUCGAUCCUUCCAGAACAGGAGAAGCUAGCGGCUCAUUGCAGGUAUGAAUCACUUCCUCAUCCUUCGAUCAAUCAGCUCCUCUGAUUCUCCUCAGAUCCCGCUUGGCUCUGUUGAUCCCAAAAUCUCAGAUCCCGCUUGGCUCUGUUGAUCCCAAAAUCUCAUCACAAACCAGCGCCAACUCCCCCCUCCAGAUCCAGUCAGUCCAAACUCCCCUCCUCAAAUCCGAAGAUCAAAAAUUGUCUGUUCUCAUCCUCCGAUCACUCACCUGCUCCGAUCUUCCCUAAAUCCUGCUUGGCUCUGCUCCUGCCAGCUCAAACGCCCCUCAUCAAAUCUGAAGAACGCCCCUCCUGAAUUCUGAAAGGUUGGCGUCGGCGAUCACCUCUUACUGUCGGAGGCUCCUACAUGGACCAUACAAUUCGGCAACUCAGUAUGCGUAGUCGUUGAAAAUGUAUAUUUAAUGCUCGCUAGGAACAGAUGUGGAUCAAGAGGAUCCUGCCACACUCCGCCUACGUAAGCCCCUCGUCCUAUCUGCGGACCUUCGUCAUCCCCAGAUUUAUCGGAGCAUCGCCAUGAUCGUUCCAGUCCAUCUGGGAUACAAUUUGCUCAAUUUCCUUGUCUUGCGUCAUCGCAUUUUCCCCUUGUGGGGAAGGGGACAACGGAUGAGACAUUUACGACUUCUGAAAACAUAAGCAUAAAUGUAGAUGAGAUAUUUGUUUCUCUCUAUAUUAUCACUCUCUCUAUGUUUCUCUAUAUAAAUGUGUCUAUGUAUUUGUCUCUCGCGAAUGAGAGAGAGAAAUAAUGGAGACAUUGCCGAUUCCUUCUUAUAAUCAAAUCAAGGACACAUCAUAUGUUAUCUUUAAUAAACAA
This is a long non-coding RNA of Panicum virgatum (switchgrass), 1098 nucleotides long. RefSeq lists it as uncharacterized. NCBI's taxonomy places the organism in Eukaryota, Viridiplantae, Streptophyta, Magnoliopsida, Poales, Poaceae. The transcript is spliced from 3 exons. The record is from RefSeq and is a predicted model, not a curated record.